UUCAACCAUGGAUUAAAAUGCCAUAAGUCUUUUCUCCAAGAAAUUAAUUGCUCUUGAUUAACCGAUCUAUCACAAGAUUAUAUCAUAAACAAUUCUAAUCCACCCUUAGUAGAAUUUCAUCAAAGUCGAUUGAUAACCUCAAUUUCUUUCAAUCAGACAGAGGGUUGAUAUUAAUUGAAGAGGUACAAGCUUUAGAUUUAGGAGAAGACAUGAUCCAAGAUCAAAAUUGAUGAUCCAUUAAUUCUAGUCUUAAGAUGCUUAGUAUUUUCUUAGCACGACAUCAAAUUGGAGAACCUAGGAUAGUGCAGCGAUAUCCAAGUAUCAGAACAUUUGCUUUUCGUUUAUCAAAAAAAAUCUUACUACACAAGGAAAUAGAUCAAUUCUUUUGUUUUUAAAACUUGCCAAAUCAAAAAGAUAAUACUUCUGAUCAGCUUAAAAAAGAUAAUUCAGACCACUACGCUUUCGCUGCGCACUCUGAUUCAAACUACCAAAAUCCUUUGCAUUCACUAAUAACUUUUGAUCAAAAUACAACUUAUAUUAUGAACUAAAGAGAUCGAAAUUUCAAUUCAACUCCUAUAAGUAAAACAUCCAGAAGAAUUUUCGCAUUGCUCCACCAAGUUAAAAGACCUUAAACGACACAAAUGAGUAAAACCGACUCGAUCAUCUCUCCAGAGUUUCCUUCACUGAGAUCUUUAGCAUUUAUUAGAAAACUUCCAUCAUAAUCAUGUAAGCCUCUAAAAUUCAAAUUCUUUAUGCAAAUCUAGGUUUUAUCAGCAACGGCAACAAUAUUGACAGAAGACCCUAGAUCGGCUUAUAAAUCCAAACUUUGAAUUAAAGUUUCAUAUACAUUACAUAGUUUUCGAUAAACAUGAACAAGAUCUAUUAUUUGGAUCCAAAGACGAUAAUUUAAAUUAUUAAUAAUUCCACCGAGAUGAAUACUUUACAAUCUCCAAUAAAAUUAUCACUUCAAGAUUGAUAAUUAUUCCUUAAUUCUGUCAAAAGCAUAAGCUAUAAAUUUAAGAGAAAAGAGAUCUAGGCUAAAACAUUUCAAAUCCAAGAUCAGCUAAUGCAAGAACCAUUAAUCCUAGACUUGGGAUGCUAGAUUUCUCUCUCUUCUCUCUUUUUUUUUUUACAACAGAUAGAAGAACCUACUAAUAUCAUGAUAAUAUCGAGUUAAAAUCAAAAACACUAAUUCUUUUUUUUUUGACAACGAAAUUCUCCUUAACAAGGAAACCCAUCAGAAAAUAUUUUUCAAUCACAGAGUUAAUAUCGUUGAUCAUCUUAAAAUAAUUUAAACAACCAAUAUUCUCAUAAUUUACUAAAUCACUUCAAAUCAAAAUCCCAAUCUACAUUGUAAUUUGAAAAGAU
This 1368-nucleotide long non-coding RNA is filed under the name Phoenix dactylifera (date palm). RNAcentral describes it as "long non-coding RNA (PDAC_LNC008478)". Lineage: Eukaryota; Viridiplantae; Streptophyta; Magnoliopsida; Arecales; Arecaceae. The record is from RNAcentral.